CGGGUGGUAAUGCCGGAUGCUCCAGUUGAUCGCAUGGUCUUCUGGGAAAGCUUUCGCGGUAUGGGAUGGGGUCGCGUCCUAUCAGCUUGACGGCGGGGUAACGGCCCACCGUGGCUUCGACGGGUAGCCGGCCUGAGAGGGCGACCGGCCACAUUGGGACUGAGAUACGGCCCAGACUCCUACGGGAGGCAGCAGUGGGGAAUAUUGCACAAUGGGCGCAAGCCUGAUGCAGCGACGCCGCGUGAGGGAUGGAGGCCUUCGGGUUGUAAACCUCUUUUAUCGGGGAGCAAGCGAGAGUGAGUUUACCCGUUGAAUAAGCACCGGCUAACUACGUGCCAGCAGCCGCGGUAAUACGUAGGGUGCAAGCGUUAUCCGGAAUUAUUGGGCGUAAAGGGCUCGUAGGCGGUUCGUCGCGUCCGGUGUGAAAGUCCAUCGCUUAACGGUGGAUCCGCGCCGGGUACGGGCGGGCUUGAGUGCGGUAGGGGAGACUGGAAUUCCCGGUGUAACGGUGGAAUGUGUAGAUAUCGGGAAAGAA
This 535-nucleotide ribosomal RNA is filed under the name Bifidobacterium longum subsp. suillum. Its description in RNAcentral is "bacterial SSU rRNA". It matches the Rfam family "Bacterial small subunit ribosomal RNA", at positions 157 to 706 of the family's 1533-position model. Lineage: Bacteria; Bacillati; Actinomycetota; Actinomycetes; Bifidobacteriales; Bifidobacteriaceae. The record is from RNAcentral.